CCCCGCGCCCGUCAUGUCAGGGAUCGCCUUUAUGUGCGGGCGAAGAGAAUGUGGCGAGCCGGGCGUCCUGGGUGGCUCGUUCCUCCAGAGGUGGGGACACUGCUCCGAAAUGAGCCUCCACCCCUCUCCGCUCCGUGCGCCGCGGCGAGGAACCCUCAGGGGGUGAGGCCCCGAGCGGGGUCGGCGUGAGGGGGUGACUCCGCUCCCGGCCGGGCCCUGCCCCGGGCCCGCCGUGCCCGCAGGCUCCGGCGAGGUGCGGUCAUUGCAUAAGGCCGGGCCGUGCCCCUGAGCUCCCGCUGACACGCUGUGGCCGCGGUUGUCCCCUCUGUGGCUGUCCCCUCGCGGCUGUCCCCUCUGCGGGUCUCCCCUCUGCGGCAGCCCGGCCACCUCCGGCCCUGCUGGUGCCUCGCCUGGAACACAGCAGGGGUGACUCGCCCCGCCGAACGCGCUGUCAUGGUCCCUUUGAUGAGUUCAAGAUCUUGGGAAUUGAGGAAGGUUUUCUUGUCACUUCUUCCACUGGUGUGGGAAUCCAGGGCUUCCCUCUGGCUGCCCUGGCAGGGGUCAGGAACCCCCCUGGACAGAGCCCCGAGAGACACUGUCUGUGAUCUCUGGCCAUGGAAAAGAGUUUUCAAUCUUACAGGAUGAAUUACCAGCUUUGAGUGUUUGAUAUAAGUAAUAAUUAAGUGUGGCACGGGUGCAAAAGUAAAAUUUUAGAUUUCUAGAUUAGGGGUUCAGAGGGGACAAGAUGGAGGAAAUUGGGUAUGUCGUGUCCUUUUCCUCCUUCUUCAUGCCCUCCAUUUUUCACUGUGCUGUUGGCAUUUUUCUGUUGGUUUAGGCUGGGGACACGCUGUUCAACGUAGGUGACAGAUAUUGGCACGUUAUUGUAAAUGCAGCACAGGUAGUUUCUGGUAUUUAAUGUUUGUACCAUCCCACUGAGGGGCAGAGCCCCGCACGCUGCCCUGCAGGACAGAGCUGCGGCAGGGCAGCAGAACAUGUUAGAGAUAAACAGAAUAAACAACCUUGAAACCAGCACAGACGAAUUAUGGCUUCUGCUUUGGCAGCGGGGCUGACAGACAGAGACUUUCUACAAUCUCGGAAUCACCAGUACCCACAGAUUCCGACACACUGGGAUGUGAUGGCAUGAGCAUCCCUCUAGGAACGUGACACAGCAACUGGAUUUAGCCUGUGCUCUGCAGGAGUUUCCACAGGGACUUGGCUUUUUGUGCCUCUUGCUUACACACUGGGCUGGGUUGGUGAGUGUCCUCGUCCUUCCUUCCUCCGAGGCACUGUCAGGGUCAAUUACAUUGAGUAAAGUGGAGUGGGGGAAGCAAAGUCACUGCAAUAUUUAGGGUUUCAGUAUGAUGGUGUCCGUUGGGAAACACCUGCAAUCAGUAGGUGAUGCCAUUUGAGAAAUCGAGAGGUACUGAGUGUAAAGAACAGAUUGUGCAAGUGUUUAGAUGCCUGGCUAUUUUUUCAGUAGUGCCCACUAAUUUGGGCAUGUUUUCCUCUCUGGAUGCCCAGUUGGAGAUGGCUCAGAGGAGCUCAUGUUUGGAAGUCACGUACUGAAGUCAUGGCUCCUUCAGGGUGUCACUCAUGUUCACAGCUGGGCACAGAGGCAGUGAGCAUCCCUGUGGCCCAGGUCUCAGCAUGGGAGAACCACUGCACUGUUGUCUUCUUGCCAAAACCCUGAAUGUCUCAUCACCACAUGGAAAAGCAUCUUGCUGGAGAAUGAAUUCGUAAAUAGUGCAGUAACAUGAACCCAUCACACAUCAGAAACAGCUGGCUUUACAGUGGUCAGGUGAGUGCAUUCACAAGUUUACCACGAAGUGGAACUGGAAUUAGCUUGAUGUGUUUCACCUCCUGUAUGCUGCUCACCUCACCAUGAUGAUGAUGCCAACUGCAUUAUGUUGUCUUUUUCUGUUGGCCAAAGAGAGAACAGAAAUCAUCCUAAGCUUUUUUUUUUUUUUUUUAAAUUUAGUUGUAUGGUGUUACACGUUAUCCAAAAAGCUCUUUUCAGAACUCUGUCUUCUCUGCUGUACAGAGAGACACUUUGUUGGAUAAAAUUAAAUUCAUUGGACAUAAAAUCAGGCCAGCCAGUUGUUUGUGCCAAAGCAUGAUGUUUUGUGAAGGGAGAGGCCAUCAUUAUGUAUCUAUUUUGUAGCUGGUUUUAAAUGAACUUUUUCAUUUCAAAACAAUUAAAUAACACGACUUGUCCAUUUGGCUAGCUGCUUUGCCUUGUGCUUGUCUUUUUGGCAUGUUUUCCCAAAACUAGCACAAAUGCAGCAUUUGUUUUGUUGGCCAUGGACUGACUGGAACAACCCACACUAUUAAAUUUUGAUGGAAAAGGGCAUUCAUGAGUUUUUAAAGCUCUAGUGGCCUGUGCCUCUGUGUUUUUGUGCUGUGUUAUCCUCUUAGCCUGUAACAGUCCAGGAGGACACCGAAAUCCUCUGUGUACCAUGAACAGUGUGAGGCAGCCAGAGAGGAGCUCUGCCUUGGUGUGCUGCUGUCCUGCCUGCAGGAUGCUCACUCCUGAAGGGAGGUGUUCUCCAGCAGAAGAUUUCCUGCAUUGCCCAGCAGUCCAUGGAGCAGGAUUCCGUGUCUGGGCAGCACCAAGCCUCUCACCCACGGAGGGCUUCCUUGGGAUCCAGCUUCCCAGGAGGUUCCCCUCUGCAAAGAGCUGCAGGAGCCAUCCUCUGAAGGGGUGGCUGUGCAGGUGGGUUCCUGGUUCCCUGUGCCCUCCUGCUGCCGUGCUCCUGGUCUGAUGCUGUGGAUGCUGUCUGCCAGACACUGGACACUGCUGCAGGCAGACUCUUGGGCUGCCUUUGAAGAAGGCAAACUCACCAGUCCUUAACCAGCCAGCAAAGAUAUUCAAACCCACAUUGAAGAAAUAAGCCUAAAAGUUCUCUCAGAGAAGAUACACUAUAGAAAGAGUAAGAUGGAUGCUCUACAUAAAUUGAAGAUUUUGGUGAUGUUUUUGUCUCUGGCUACUUUCAUGAUCAUGGUGAUAAUGAAUGCUGGAAAUGCCACUGGGAUUUUCAAAGGUCUGUUCAGGACAACCCCUGGAAACAUCUCAGCCAAGUACAGCACAGAUUUCACACCAGCUGGCUGGACUUUCCUCAUCUGGAAUGUCAUCUACGCCUGGCAGCUCGCCUGGCUUCUCUACGCCUUGUCAGGGAUCUGCAGAAGGAAUGAACUUGGAUAUGUCUUCAUGAAGCCAGACUUGCUGCCAAUACCUUUUUAUGUGGCGUGGUGUCUGAAUAAUGGCCUCAAUGUUGGAUGGCUCUUUCUGUGGGACCGAGAAUACCUCCUUCCAGCCCUGGUGUUCCUGGCAGUCCUGUCCCUUACCACAUGUGCCUGCCUGUUUGUCUCCCACCGAGCCUUGAGCAUCCAUUCCUCGUGGUUUGUGAAGGCUAACAAGGCUGAGCUCUGGCUCAUCCGCAUUCUGGUGCAGAACGGGCUGGCUCUGUACCUGACGUGGACCAGCAUCGCCACGCUGCUCAACUUCGCCGUGGUGCUCAUCCACAAGUGGAACGUGCCCAGCGAGAAAGCGACCACUGCUUCCCUGAGCAUCCUGGCUCUCAGCCUGGUGAUAUGGUUUUAUCUAGAAAAUUACCUUCUCGACAAGUACGUCCGCUAUAACCUCACAGUCUACCCCGUGGUCAUAGCAGCUCUGACAGGCAGCGCCUGUGGGAACGGCUCCUUCUCAUCCCCACUGACCAACCACGUUUUCAUAGUUGUUCUGCUGGCACUGACGUGUUUGAUCUUUGCUGUUCGGCUGGGACUGGUUGUGUGGAGACACUGGAAGAGACCACUGGAAGCAUGAGAACCCUGAGGCCCAUCAGGCACAGUGACCUGAGACCUCUGGCACAUUGUGGGUGAUGCUUGAAAGGGAGAAAAAAGAAUUGGGCAUGUGCUGGCUCUUGUUCCUGUAUCCAUUCCCUUCUGCAUUUCUCUCUUAUUCUCUGUUCCAAAUGCAGAUGUCUUGUGUCCGCAAAUGUGUCUUGCUCCCACAUUCUCUCAGAUCAGUUACUCACAACCCUGUCUUGAGUUCCUUUGGUUUUAUCCUGGAAAAGUUCAGGAAAAGCAGCCCUGUGCAGCUUUGUGAUGCCUGGGCUGUGGCUCUCUUCUCCUGCCAGUGCAAGCAGGGCUGCCAACAGGCACCCAGCAGGCCUGCACACACAGUUUUUCCUGUUUUUCCCUUGGUAUCUCACUUUCUUGGAAGUGCAGACCCAAGUGACCUGUCCCUGGGGUUCCAGGUGGGAGAGCUGUCAUUCAUUGCCUUGGCCAUCAGGGCUGAGCAUCCUCAAGCCCUGGUGCUGUCAGCAGAUCUCCUGCAGGCAGCCACUGCUCCUUUCCUGCUUCUCUGCAGCAUGACAGGGGCAGAGACUAGGAUUUGACAUCUGCCUUUGCAGUGUCAGCUCUGCAGUUUGAUGUUCAAGGGGGCAGGGGGAGGGACUGAAGGUUUCUGACACAAAGGUGUUGGUGUUGCCUUUCCCUGAGCUGGGCACAGCUUGGGCUGGCUGGAUGUCUCUCACUGGGGGAGUUUGUGGCUACUCUGGAAGGAGCUCAGAUGUACAGAUGAGCUGGUCCCUGAUCUGGGGUGAAGCCUGAUGCUUCAAAGGAAGCCUGUUAAAAAAAAAAUAAAUAAAAAUUGAACAGGUAGAGCAAGUUCAUCCUGGAUCAGUGCCUUCUCAUGUGGCUUCACCACUUCUGAGUUGGGAUUAGGAAGCCUAAAACUGGAUUGACUGAAUUUUUGGACCACUGCCUUUCCUUCCUGUGCCUAAUUGAGAGCUGGUGGUGCCUCACAGGUGUCUGGAAAGUCUUGGCACCAGGAAGGUGCUUUCAGUGCAUCUUGCAGUAUUAUUAACAAAGCUAAAUUCUAAAAUAACAUGUGCUGUUGUUUACAUUUAGCAAAAAGCAAAAGCAGUGUAAUGCAUCUCCCCUCAUCAUUCUGGUGUGUUGUUUUUUUUUUUUUUUUCUAUUUUUUAAUUUUAAAAUAAGUCAGCUCAUUCUAUCACUCUGCAACUAACUCUGUAAAUCAUCUAAAGCAGCUGUCCUGGCCCCUUCCUCACUCAUGCCCAGGGCUCCAGAGUGACUCUGGUCCCUUGCUGGAAUCUCAUGGAGGUGAAGAGUUGGAGGAUGUAGAUUGCUAGGUAUGAUUUAAACUCCUUUGACCAGCACACUGUUCAUUAAGUUUCUAUUUUAUAGGCUCUGCCUCCCAAGAUCCCAGCUAAUAAAUUCCCAGCAGCCUCUCCCUAAGCUGCCUUCUUUAAUACAGGGGAAUUAAAGCCACUGGCAGGGGGAUUAAGGGGUCCAGGCAAGGUGAGAAGCUGCUGUGAGGCUGUGCAGCAGUUCAUGCAUGGCAGGGUUUUGCAGCCUCCCUCUUGCAGCAAGAGCACUGCAAAGAGCUCCUGGGCCAGGGCAGCUGCACUUUCCCAUUAAAAAAUGCCUUAUCA
Molecule: long non-coding RNA, 5456 nt
Organism: Taeniopygia guttata (zebra finch)
Lineage: Eukaryota; Metazoa; Chordata; Aves; Passeriformes; Estrildidae
Source: Ensembl